UGUAUUAGACGUGUGAGGUCGUUUGUUUACUCUUGAAUAUCGGCAAAAAUUUAACAUUUCUGCUACUUUGAGCUCAGUUUCAAGCCAUUUCCAGUGCUAAAACCAAUCAAAAUCAUCUCUAUUUCUGUAAUAUGUCUUCCAUUCUAUCAAAUGAGACCAAGAAAUCGCAAAUACAACUAUAAAAAACAUACGAAAAAACACUGCAAAGUUGCUGUUUUAAUCGAAAAAUCAUGAUUUCAUUUUUUUUUCUCUCAUUAUACACAGUGUGCUGCAGGAUCUGUUUUAUGUGGUGCACACAUACCACAUAGAUGUAUUCUCUCAUAUCUAGGCCCAAAUGUACCACUCACAGUUUAUCAGAGUGAGCUGAGCUCAUGGCGUAGAUCUACGGUUUGGACCCUGAACGUAAAGCCGUAGAUCUACGGGACGGACCCUGAAAGGGUUAAAGAGUCAGGGUACUAACCUAAAAUCAGUACCUGACCAGCCAGGCUGUGGUUCAUACGUUGGAUCAUGUGUGGCCAGCAGUAACAGCCUGGUUGAUCAGGCCCUGGUCCACUGUGAGGCCUGGUCAUGGACUGGGCCCCUGGGGCUUUGACCUUCAGAACACCCACCAGGUAUACUCUAGGUAUACCUCUGGCAAAAUGGUGAUGGCAUGAGUGAUUGUGAAAGUGUUUCUUCUUUUUCAGGUCACCCUGCUACCUUGGUGGGAGAUGGCAAGUGUGUUAAAAGAAAAUGGUAGAUGAGUAUGAUACAUGUUUAACUUUUAGGUACAUUAUCUUUAUUUCUGAAAGGUUUUGCCUACGCAUUACUUUUCCAUAAUCAUGUAAUCCUUAAAACAAUUAAAUUCAGUGAAAGUGUUCAUUGUAAUUCCUAAAUUUAUUGUUACAACCACUUAGAGACUGUAUGUACAAGCAGUCAAUUAAUUCCUGCCUUAUUAGUCAUAAGAUAGGUGUAAGUUUGCCCAAAAUGCUUUCUAUACAAAGAGGCUUUUUUGCAUGCACACCUAAAUGUCACUCACCUCUGUCCAAACAUCAUAUGUUGAAAUAAAGAAUCUUUAAUCUCUUUUUUCAGUGAAAUACAGAGGUGAUUAAAUAUGAAGACAGUAGAAGCGGUGGAAAAGAAAACAUAUGAUCAGUCUAUCACUCCAGAUGAAAUAAUUUUGAGGUGCUCAGUCACUCAACCUGGAGAAGAGCUCAACUCCAUAGCCUUGAACAAUAGUUACCUCUUUAUUUGACUGAGGAAGCCUACUGCAUAGGUUAAACAUUUCAAAAACAAAGAUAUCUAACUGUUGCACAUAUAGGUGAAAUGUUUCAGAAAUAAAAAUAUCUUAAUUGUUGCAUGUGUCUUACUCAUCUAUGUUUUGGUAUUACAUAUCAUUAUUAUCAUACGAAACUGGCUCCAUGUAAUAGUUAAAGCCUCAAGUGCAAGUUUUCCUCGCUAUAUGGGUUUUCUUUAUAUGAAUUUGCUAAUAUGCAGUCUUAUUUCUAUUUAAUUAUGUUUGUGCAUAAAUUUGCUGUGUGCAACCGGUGUAGUUUACAAAACACACUGAAGAAUGUUACUUUGUGAAAUUGGGUGUAAAUGAAUGUUAUUUUAUGAAACUGGGUGUUGAUGUCCUCACUGAGCUUAGUGCUACUGCUGCCACAUGUGCAGAAUGCACGUAUAUCAUGUACAGCAAGGGACACUUAUAAUUUGGCUUGUACAUGAACUAGCACAUACAUAAUGGGUAAUUAGACAAACAAAUAUUGUAGUAAAGGGAAUAUGCUGCUUUACACUGCAUGUACCUAAACUCAAUAUUUACAAGGUUUACUUUUUUAAAGUCUUAUAGUCCAAUUAUUUUUAACCCAAAAUUAGACAUAAUAACAUAAAAGGAUUUGUCUGCCAAGUGUCUACAUUUUUCUACAUUUUGAAGCACUUUUGAGAAUAUGUACAUUUUUAUUUACAUGCAGAAUUUUUCCUCCAGGUCAUCCGACUUGUUUGCAGUUUACAGCUCACAUGAUGGUCUCAGUGAGACAGUACCGAUGGCAGUGCAUUGAAUGUAAAUGCUGUACACUCUGUGGCACUUCUGAGAAUGAUGACCAGCUUUUGUUUUGUGAUGACUGUGACCGAGGUUACCACCUUUACUGUUUGCAUCCUCCACUUCAAGAACCACCUGAGGGAGAGUGGUCCUGUGAUCUUUGCCUCCAACAAUUCCACACUAAAUGAUGAAGCUGCAUUGUGUACUUGUCUCCCACUUGUCUUUGUAAGACUGAGGGUCUACAGUCCUCUCUGCACCACUGUUGAUAAAAUGACAAAAAGGCUUGUAAUUAAAACAGCAAAUGGUUUGAAAGUUAUUAUUAUUAUUAUUGUUGUUGCUGAUGACUAAUAUUUUCUUUUAAGACCAAUUUAAAGAGAGCCUUAAAUCUGUCUCUUCAUGGUCUAAUAAAUGCCAGUAAGAUUAUAAGAGGAGCGGGAAAAUAAAAAUGUGCAUGUCAUGGACUGUAUAUUACAGUAAACAAAAACAUCUUUUUACUAGUAAUGUACUUUUGUACAGUACCAUAAUUGGCCUUUUCUGUGGUUCAUAAUAUUAGCAAAGUUUAAACUUUAUGAAAAUAUAAGACUGAUUUCUACAAUGCCUUUAAAAGGCCUUGAGUUAUUUCCUAUGUAAAUUUAAAACUGCUAUUAUUGAUAAUGCCUAUGACUCUUGACUGUUAGUUAGGAAUAUGUAUGUUGCAUGUCAUAAUCACUAGCAGUCCAAUUGUUGCUUUUAAAUUUAUAAUUAUGAAAGCAAUGUAGUCAUCCUAUAGAUUAAUGUUGGAAAUAUGUGAUAAGUUGUAGAUCAUAAAAACUACUGGCUUCUUUAUAUAAUGGCUCAUAUGAGAGAGACAAAGGCUGUUAAAUCUGGGAUAAGGUAGUUUGUGAAGAUUA
Non-coding RNA from Cherax quadricarinatus, 2901 nucleotides. NCBI's taxonomy places the organism in Eukaryota, Metazoa, Arthropoda, Malacostraca, Decapoda, Parastacidae. The record is from RefSeq and is a predicted model, not a curated record.